RNAcentral lists this unclassified non-coding RNA (20 nucleotides) under Mus musculus (house mouse). RNAcentral describes it as "oocyte_clustered_small_RNA12365". Lineage: Eukaryota; Metazoa; Chordata; Mammalia; Rodentia; Muridae. The record is from RNAcentral.
AACCAACAACAGCAGCUCCA